AUUUAUUUAGUAUAAAAAGUACAUUUGACUUCCAAUCAUAAAGUCUUUAUUAAGAAUAAAUA
RNAcentral lists this transfer RNA (62 nucleotides) under Polypsocus corruptus. Its description in RNAcentral is "tRNA-Gly". Lineage: Eukaryota; Metazoa; Arthropoda; Insecta; Psocodea; Amphipsocidae. The record is from RNAcentral.